GUGAGAUUUUGUAUGGGAUGACGUUUUGAGUGGCAUUCUGUAAGGAAAUUCCAGCCUCAUUCCGAAACACACUUCGCACUCGAAUGCGCUCCAAAAUGUCAAAUAAAAAGUUAGUAUUUUGUGAGCGAGAAUAGACGGAGUUUUAGAAAAUUGCAUUAAAAUUACAUUUAUUAGUGUUCAAAUGUGUUAAAAAUAAGUUUUGUGAUAUUUAUUUGAACUAAAUUAUGCAUAUUAGGGAUGACACGAAUGUUUUUAUUAAAGGCAAAUGGAUUUCAACUCAAGUAAAGAUUAAACAGAUAAAGAUCUAAAUAAGUCAAAUGCGGAUCCAACUUAAUAUGGUGGAAUGGUGGUGCUAUGCAAGUCUGAUUUAUUUUUAAUCACUGUAUCUACCUACCUAUAGUAAAAAAACCACUUAAGAGAUGUACAAAGGCUGGUGAUGAAGUGGUUUUGCUUGGUGAUUUAGGAUAUGCUCCAUGCGCCUGCCUAAUGACACCAGUGAGUGGUACCGAAGAUAAUUCCCCAGAAGCACUCAUAUUCUGCAAACUAUAAAUCAAACAUUUUACAUCUCCAUGUAUGUACCUAAAAGAAUAAUAAGUGUGGAUACCUACAAACUUUCAUUAAAAUUUUUGUUUUAUCUUAAUUAUUUUGAAUAAUAAAAUAUACCUAUGUAUAAAUGUAUUUCGUAUUUAAAAUAAUUAUUAAGACUACCUCUAAUUAUCAUUACUUUCUGAGGGGCACAGUAAU
This is a long non-coding RNA of Ostrinia nubilalis (European corn borer), 744 nucleotides long. RefSeq lists it as uncharacterized. The transcript is spliced from 3 exons. Lineage: Eukaryota; Metazoa; Arthropoda; Insecta; Lepidoptera; Crambidae. The record is from RefSeq and is a predicted model, not a curated record.